Long non-coding RNA from Solanum pennellii, 690 nucleotides. RefSeq lists it as uncharacterized. The transcript has 2 exons. NCBI's taxonomy places the organism in Eukaryota, Viridiplantae, Streptophyta, Magnoliopsida, Solanales, Solanaceae. The record is from RefSeq and is a predicted model, not a curated record.
UCACAUUCUGAACAGACGCCAAUAAGAUCUCAUUGCGAACAGAUGAAAUUUAUGUUUUGCAUCCUUUUGAAACCAUUCUGAGAAAAUGACCUUUUCUCAGCAGCCAACAUCCGAUUUCAGCAAAAGAAGAACAGACAAUUCUCACCAACCUUGAUUCUUCUCUAGCAAAACAUGCGUCAAUAUUGAUUUACCCUAUGGCAGCCAUCGUGCAAGAGUUGUAAGUUCCCACCUAUUUACUUUAUGCACAAUUUGAAUUUGUUCGCCAACCUUUAUUAUGGCCGAUUAAGAUCCCUACCCUGUCAAAGUUCUGCUAGUCAAAACAGGUAAGAAUCUUAUAAGGCGACGUCCUCCCCACUGCUUCUUUGUGAAUCUCUUGGUACUCACAUUAACUUACGAUUGAUCACUGUAACGGAAAACUGGCAAAUAUUAUUUACAUUGUUGGUCUGGAACAUAAUUGAGUUGAACUGCUGCCUGCAAAUUAAAGUGUACAGGACACUCAUUAACGUUGGUCCUUCCCCUUGAGCGACCAACUGCUGUUUGUUCAAAGGGAUAAAAUAACACCCUGUCGUCACAACCAUAUUAUUUGCCCUAUAUAGCUUACAAAUGUGAUUAUGUUUACAACAAUUUGAACCGGUUAUUCACUUACGUCCAUCUCAACAUUGAUAAUACUCAAUCCCUUUUUACUGUUAA